GAUGAACGCUGGCGGCGUGUUUAACACAUGCAAGUCGAACGGUGAAACAGGAGCUUGCUCCUGCGGAUCAGUGGCGAACGGGUGAGUAACACGUGAGUAACCUGCCCUUGACUCUGGGAUAAGCGUUGGAAACGACGUCUAAUACCGGAUACGAGCUUCAGUCGCAUGGCUAGGAGCUGGAAAGAAUUUCGGUCAAGGAU
RNAcentral lists this ribosomal RNA (200 nucleotides) under uncultured bacterium. RNAcentral describes it as "partial 16S ribosomal RNA". It matches the Rfam family "Bacterial small subunit ribosomal RNA", at positions 28 to 226 of the family's 1533-position model. The record is from RNAcentral.